AAUAGAUACCCGGGUAGUCCACGCCGUAAACGAUGUCGACUUGGAGGUUGUUCCCUUGAGGAGUGGCUUCCGGAGCUAACGCGUUAAGUCGACCGCCUGGGGAGUACGGCCGCAAGGUUAAAACUCAAAUGAAUUGACGGGGGCCCGCACAAGCGGUGGAGCAUGUGGUUUAAUUCGAUGCAACGCGAAGAACCUUACCUACUCUUGACAUCCAGAGAACUUAGCAGAGAUGCUUUGGUGCCUUCGGGAACUCUGAGACAGGUGCUGGCAUGGCUGUCGUCAGCUCGUGUUGUGAAAUGUUGGGUUAAGUCCCGCAACGAGCGCAACCCUUAUCCUUUGUUGCCAGCGGUUCGGCCGGGAACUCAAAGGAGACUGCCAGUGAUAAACUGGAGGAAGGUGGGGAUGACGUCAAGUCAUCAUGGCCCUUACGAGUAGGGCUACACACGUGCUACAAUGGCGUAUACAAAGAGAAGCGACCUCGCGAGAGCAAGCGGACCUCAUAAAGUACGUCGUAGUCCGGAUUGGAGUCUGCAACUCGA
RNAcentral lists this ribosomal RNA (539 nucleotides) under uncultured bacterium. RNAcentral's name for it is "bacterial SSU rRNA". It matches the Rfam family "Bacterial small subunit ribosomal RNA", at positions 777 to 1315 of the family's 1533-position model. The record is from RNAcentral.